Molecule: ribosomal RNA, 405 nt
Filed under: Corynebacterium sp. LK11
Lineage: Bacteria; Bacillati; Actinomycetota; Actinomycetes; Mycobacteriales; Corynebacteriaceae
Description: partial 23S ribosomal RNA
Rfam family: Bacterial large subunit ribosomal RNA
Source: RNAcentral
UGUGGGUAGGGGUGAAAGGCCAAUCAAACUCCGUGAUAGCUGGUUCUCCCCGAAAUGCAUUUAGGUGCAGCGUCGUGUGUUUCCUCCUGGAGGUAGAGCUACUGGUUGGUUUAGCGGGACUAUCAUCUUAGCGACAUCAGCCAAACUCCGAAUGCCGGUGAGGUCAGAGCACGGCAGUGAGACUGCGGGGGAUAAGCUUCGUAGUCGAGAGGGAAACAGCCCAGAUCGCCGGCUAAGGCCCCUAAGGGUGUGCUAAGUGGAAAAGGAUGUGGGAUCGCGAAGACAACCAGGAGGUUGGCUUAGAAGCAGCCAUCCUUGAAAGAGUGCGUAAUAGCUCACUGGUCGAGUGGUUCUGCGCCGACAAUGUAGUGGGGCUCAAGUACACCGCCGAAGCCGCGGCAAUCA